GGUUAAGCGACUAAGCGUACACGGUGGAUGCCCUGGCAGUCAGAGGCGAUGAAGGACGUGCUAAUCUGCGAUAAGCGUCGGUAAGGUGAUAUGAACCGUUAUAACCGGCGAUUUCCGAAUGGGGAAACCCAGUGUGUUUCGACACACUAUCAUUAACUGAAUCCAUAGGUUAAUGAGGCGAACCGGGGGAACUGAAACAUCUAAGUACCCCGAGGAAAAGAAAUCAACCGAGAUUCCCCCAGUAGCGGCGAGCGAACGGGGAGCAGCCCAGAGCCUGAAUCAGUGUGUGUGUUAGUGGAAGCGUCUGGAAAGGCGCGCGAUACAGGGUGACAGCCCCGUACACAAAAAUGCACAUGCUGUGAGCUCGAUGAGUAGGGCGGGACACGUGGUAUCCUGUCUGAAUAUGGGGGGACCAUCCUCCAAGGCUAAAUACUCCUGACUGACCGAUAGUGAACCAGUACCGUGAGGGAAAGGCGAAAAGAACCCCGGCGAGGGGAGUGAAAAAGAACCUGAAACCGUGUACGUACAAGCAGUGGGAGCACGCUUAGGCGUGUGACUGCGUACCUUUUGUAUAAUGGGUCAGCGACUUAUAUUCUGUAGCAAGGUUAACCGAAUAGGGGAGCCGAAGGGAAACCGAGUCUUAACUGGGCGUUAAGUUGCAGGGUAUAGACCCGAAACCCGGUGAUCUAGCCAUGGGCAGGUUGAAGGUUGGGUAACACUAACUGGAGGACCGAACCGACUAAUGUUGAAAAAUUAGCGGAUGACUUGUGGCUGGGGGUGAAAGGCCAAUCAAACCGGGAGAUAGCUGGUUCUCCCCGAAAGCUAUUUAGGUAGCGCCUCGUGAAUUCAUCUCCGGGGGUAGAGCACUGUUUCGGCAAGGGGGUCAUCCCGACUUACCAACCCGAUGCAAACUGCGAAUACCGGAGAAUGUUAUCACGGGAGACACACGGCGGGUGCUAACGUCCGUCGUGAAGAGGGAAACAACCCAGACCGCCAGCUAAGGUCCCAAAGUCAUGGUUAAGUGGGAAACGAUGUGGGAAGGCCCAGACAGCCAGGAUGUUGGCUUAGAAGCAGCCAUCAUUUAAAGAAAGCGUAAUAGCUCACUGGUCGAGUCGGCCUGCGCGGAAGAUGUAACGGGGCUAAACCAUGCACCGAAGCUGCGGCAGCGACACUAUGUGUUGUUGGGUAGGGGAGCGUUCUGUAAGCCUGUGAAGGUGUACUGUGAGGUAUGCUGGAGGUAUCAGAAGUGCGAAUGCUGACAUAAGUAACGAUAAAGCGGGUGAAAAGCCCGCUCGCCGGAAGACCAAGGGUUCCUGUCCAACGUUAAUCGGGGCAGGGUGAGUCGACCCCUAAGGCGAGGCCGAAAGGCGUAGUCGAUGGGAAACAGGUUAAUAUUCCUGUACUUGGUGUUACUGCGAAGGGGGGACGGAGAAGGCUAUGUUGGCCGGGCGACGGUUGUCCCGGUUUAAGCGUGUAGGCUGGUUUUCCAGGCAAAUCCGGAAAAUCAAGGCUGAGGCGUGAUGACGAGGCACUACGGUGCUGAAGCAACAAAUGCCCUGCUUCCAGGAAAAGCCUCUAAGCAUCAGGUAACAUCAAAUCGUACCCCAAACCGACACAGGUGGUCAGGUAGAGAAUACCAAGGCGCUUGAGAGAACUCGGGUGAAGGAACUAGGCAAAAUGGUGCCGUAACUUCGGGAGAAGGCACGCUGAUAUGUAGGUGAAGUCCCUCGCGGAUGGAGCUGAAAUCAGUCGAAGAUACCAGCUGGCUGCAACUGUUUAUUAAAAACACAGCACUGUGCAAACACGAAAGUGGACGUAUACGGUGUGACGCCUGCCCGGUGCCGGAAGGUUAAUUGAUGGGGUUAGCGCAAGCGAAGCUCUUGAUCGAAGCCCCGGUAAACGGCGGCCGUAACUAUAACGGUCCUAAGGUAGCGAAAUUCCUUGUCGGGUAAGUUCCGACCUGCACGAAUGGCGUAAUGAUGGCCAGGCUGUCUCCACCCGAGACUCAGUGAAAUUGAACUCGCUGUGAAGAUGCAGUGUACCCGCGGCAAGACGGAAAGACCCCGUGAACCUUUACUAUAGCUUGACACUGAACAUUGAGCCUUGAUGUGUAGGAUAGGUGGGAGGCUUUGAAGUGUGGACGCCAGUCUGCAUGGAGCCGACCUUGAAAUACCACCCUUUAAUGUUUGAUGUUCUAACGUGGACCCGUAAUCCGGGUUGCGGACAGUGUCUGGUGGGUAGUUUGACUGGGGCGGUCUCCUCCUAAAGAGUAACGGAGGAGCACGAAGGUUGGCUAAUCCUGGUCGGACAUCAGGAGGUUAGUGCAAUGGCAUAAGCCAGCUUGACUGCGAGCGUGACGGCGCGAGCAGGUGCGAAAGCAGGUCAUAGUGAUCCGGUGGUUCUGAAUGGAAGGGCCAUCGCUCAACGGAUAAAAGGUACUCCGGGGAUAACAGGCUGAUACCGCCCAAGAGUUCAUAUCGACGGCGGUGUUUGGCACCUCGAUGUCGGCUCAUCACAUCCUGGGGCUGAAGUAGGUCCCAAGGGUAUGGCUGUUCGCCAUUUAAAGUGGUACGCGAGCUGGGUUUAGAACGUCGUGAGACAGUUCGGUCCCUAUCUGCCGUGGGCGCUGGAGAAUUGAGGGGGGCUGCUCCUAGUACGAGAGGACCGGAGUGGACGCAUCACUGGUGUUCGGGUUGUCAUGCCAAUGGCACUGCCCGGUAGCUAAAUGCGGAAGAGAUAAGUGCUGAAAGCAUCUAAGCACGAAACUUGCCCCGAGAUGAGUUCUCCCUGACUCCUUGAGAGUCCUGAAGGAACGUUGAAGACGACGACGUUGAUAGGCCGGGUGUGUAAGCGCAGCGAUGCGUUGAGCUAACCGGUACUAAUGAACCGUGAGGCUUAACCUU
RNAcentral lists this ribosomal RNA (2903 nucleotides) under Escherichia coli. RNAcentral describes it as "23S ribosomal RNA". It matches the Rfam family "Bacterial large subunit ribosomal RNA". Lineage: Bacteria; Pseudomonadati; Pseudomonadota; Gammaproteobacteria; Enterobacterales; Enterobacteriaceae. The record is from RNAcentral.